GGCAAUUUUAGGAUAUUUUUGGGGUUUUUUGGGUUUUUUUUCUGGGGUUUUUGGGCGAUUUUGGGGUGAUUUUAAGGGGAUUUGGGGUCCUGGGGAUCCAUCAGGGACCCCCAAAAAUGUCUCAGGGACCCCCAAAAGUGCCCCCCCCUCUGCAGCAGGUGAAAUUUGGGGGAAUUUGGGCAAUUUUGGGCAAUUUUGGGAUUUUUUGGGACUUUUUUUGGGUGAUUUUUGGGCUCUUUUGGUGCUUUUUUGGGUGGUUUGAGGUCCCGGAAGGUCAGAAAACCGCCGGGUUUUUUUGGGGAGGGGGAUUCCCUGGUCUCCCUGAAUUUGGGGAGGGGUCUCAGGAGUCUUAGGAGUAUUUGAGUAUUUUGGGGAGGGGUCUCAGGAGUAUUUGAGUAUUUUGGGGAGGGGUCUCAGAGCUCUUUUUUGGGCUUUUUGAGGCUUUUUUGGCCUCUUUGGGACAUUUUCUGGUACUUUAUGGUCCUGGAAGGUCGGAAAACCGCCGGGUUUUUUUUGGGGAGGGGGAUUCCCUGGGCUGCCCGAAUUUGGGGAGGGGUCUCAGGGCUAUUUGGGGGUAAUUUGGGGAGGGGUCUCAGGGGUUUUUGGGGGCCAUUUGUGGAGUUUUGGGGCUCUUUUGAUGCAUUUUUGGGCGGUUUGAGGUCCCGGAAGGUCAGAAAACCGCCGGGUUUUUUUGGGGAGGGGGAUUCCCGGGGCUCCCCGAAUUUGGGGAGGGGUCUCAGGAGUCUCAGGAGUAUUUGAGUAUUUUGGGGAGGGGUCUCAGGGGUAAUUUGUGGCCCUUUUGGGCUCUUUUGAUGCUUUUUUGGCUGGUUUGAGGUCCUGGAAGGUCAGAAAACCGCCGGGUUUUUUUUGGGGAGGGGGAUUCCCUGGUCUCCCCGAAUUUGGGGAGGGGUCUCAGGAGUCUCAGGAGUAUUUGAGUAUUUUGGGGAGGGGUCUCAGGGGUCUCUGAGUAAUUUGGGGAGGGGUCUCAGGGGUAAUUUGUGGCGCUUUUGGGCUCUUUUGGGGCUCUUUUGGUGCUUUUUUGGGCGGUUUGAGGUCCUGGAAGGUCAGAAAACCGCCGGGUUUUUUUUGGGGAGGGGGAUUCCCGGGUCUCCCCGAAUUUGGGGAGGGGUCUCAGGCUCCGUGCCCCCUCCCCAGCCGCUCCAGCUGCUCGGAGUGCCUGGCCCCCCCCUCGCAGUGCGCCUGGUGCCCCUCGGCCCGGCGCUGUUUCCUCUUCGCCGCGUACCUGGCGCGGUUCCCCCACGGCGAGUGCCGCGGCUGGUCCGACAGCGUUCACUCGGCCCCCCAGUGCCAGAGCUGCUCCUGGGGGUUUUUGGGGGGUCCUUGGGGGGUCCUGGGGGGGUUUUGGGGUGGUUUUGGGGGUUUUUGGGGGUUCCUGGGGGGUUUUUGGGGUGGUUUUUGGGGUUUUUGGGGGUCCCGAGGCUCUCGGGGUAAGUUUUUGGGGUGAUUUUGGGGUUUUUUGCAGCGUUCACUCGGCCCCCCAGUGCCAGAGCUGCUCCUGGGGGUUUUUGGGGGUUCCUGGGCGGUUUUUGGGGGUUUUGGGGUGGUUUUGGGGGUUUUUGGGGUGGUUUUUGGGGUUUUUGGGGGUCCCGAGGCUCUCGGGGUAAGUUUUUGGGGUGAUUUUGGGGUUUUUUGCAGCGUUCACUCGGCCCCCCAGUGCCAGAGCUGCUCCCAGCUGGGCUCGUGCCGGGAGUGCCUGAACCAGCACGGCUGCGGCUGGUGCGGCUCCAGCCAGAACCCCACCCUGGGCAGGUCUGAAUUGGGGCUGGGGGCUUCAACUGGGGCUGGGGGCUUCGGGGGGGUCAGGGGAGUUUGGGGGGGUCUCGAAUUUGGGGGUUUUGGGGGGAAUUUUGGGGAAUUUUGGUGAUUUUGGGUCCUGGAGCUUGAGGAUUCCUGAAUUCUAGAGGGGUUUUGGAGGCUUGAAUUGGGUCUGGGGGCUU
Taeniopygia guttata (zebra finch) is the source of this 1958-nucleotide long non-coding RNA. NCBI's taxonomy places the organism in Eukaryota, Metazoa, Chordata, Aves, Passeriformes, Estrildidae. The record is from Ensembl.